Anguilla anguilla (European eel) is the source of this 520-nucleotide long non-coding RNA. RefSeq lists it as uncharacterized. The transcript has 3 exons. The record is from RefSeq and is a predicted model, not a curated record. Lineage: Eukaryota; Metazoa; Chordata; Actinopteri; Anguilliformes; Anguillidae.
ACAACUGUGCGUUCCCUGGCCUCCAAUUCAAAUUCUGCCACGACUCCGGACUCUUUCAUUAAGGAAGUAUGAGAAUGAGCAAGAAACUUAAAAGACGGUGGAGGAGGAUGAGGAGGAUGAAGGCUAUGGAGGGAAAGAGGCAAUCAGCAGAGAAACUCAGAAUACCCUGCAACAUAAGGACAGAACUGACAGUGACACUACAGGAUCAGGGCCCGUUGCUGAAGAGACUAUGUGGGCAUGUGAGAAAUUAAGACGGACGAAGAAGGGAAAUGUUUCUGCCGGGAAGAACACGUCGUUGCUGAGCUGGACAUAAUAGCUAAAUUAGCCUCUGGUGAUAUGCUAAUUGGACAAAUAACAUCGCCACACUUCAGAAAGAUGAUGUAGCAUGAUAUGGAUGAUUUGGUAUGACUCUGUUGUCAGAGGUUCAUUAGGCUCACAACUGAUAGCAGACAUUAAGACAAUAUAACCGCUCUGUGGCCUGGCUGGGAAGCCACAGUGAGCAUGUUUACAUUUUCCCUCU